RNAcentral lists this ribosomal RNA (253 nucleotides) under uncultured bacterium. RNAcentral describes it as "partial 16S ribosomal RNA". It matches the Rfam family "Bacterial small subunit ribosomal RNA", at positions 524 to 776 of the family's 1533-position model. The record is from RNAcentral.
UACAGAGGGGGCAAGCGUUAUUCGGAAUUAUUGGGCGUAAAGGGCUCGUAGGCGGUCUGUCGCGUCGGGAGUGAAAACUCAGGGCUUAACCCUGAGCCUGCUUCCGAUACGGGCAGACUAGAGGUAUGCAGGGGAGAACGGAAUUCCUGGUGUAGCGGUGAAAUGCGCAGAUAUCAGGAGGAACACCGGUGGCGAAGGCGGUUCUCUGGGCAUUACCUGACGCUGAGGAGCGAAAGUGUGGGGAGCGAACAGG